Molecule: ribosomal RNA, 392 nt
Filed under: uncultured eukaryote
Lineage: Eukaryota
Description: SSU rRNA
Rfam family: Eukaryotic small subunit ribosomal RNA
Source: RNAcentral
AGCUCCAGUAGCGUAUAUUAAAGUUGUUGCAGUUAAAAAGCUCGUAGUUGGAUUUCUGGCAAACCGGGGCGGCCCGUGCUCUUAAUGGGUGCUGUGUGCCGUGUCGUGUUUGUCAUCCUUCCAGAGAGCUACGUCUACCAUUCACUUGGCCGGACGUACGUGAUCUGGAUCGAUUACUUUGAAAAAAUUAGAGUGUUUAAAGCAGGCUUAUGCUGUGAAUACAUUAGCAUGGAAUAAUAAUUUAGGACUUCGGUCCUAUUUUGUUGGUUUCUAGGACAGAAGUAAUGAUUGAUAGGGACAGUUGGGGGUGCUAGUAUUCCGCGGCCAGAGGUGAAAUUCUUGGAUUCGCGGAAGACUAACUACUGCGAAAGCAUUCACCAAGGAUGUCUUCU